UACGGGGGGGGCAAGCGUUGUUCGGAAUUACUGGGCGUAAAGGGCUCGUAGGCGGCCAACUAAGUCGGACGUGAAAUCCCUCGGCUUAACCGGGGAACUGCGUCCGAUACUGGAUGGCUUGAGUUUGGGAGAGGGAUGCGGAAUUCCAGGUGUAGCGGUGGAAUGCGUAGAUAUCUGGAGGAACACCGGUGGCGAAGGCGGCAUCCUGGACCAACACUGACGCUGAUGAGCGAAAGCCAGGGGAGCAAACGGG
Molecule: ribosomal RNA, 253 nt
Filed under: uncultured bacterium
Lineage: Bacteria
Description: partial 16S ribosomal RNA
Rfam family: Bacterial small subunit ribosomal RNA
Source: RNAcentral